Molecule: ribosomal RNA, 949 nt
Filed under: uncultured bacterium
Lineage: Bacteria
Description: bacterial SSU rRNA
Rfam family: Bacterial small subunit ribosomal RNA
Source: RNAcentral
GAUGAACGCUGGCGGCGUGCUUAAUACAUGCAAGUCGAACGGAGACAUUAGCAAUAAUGUUUUAGUGGCGAACGGGUGAGUAACGCGUUGGUGACCUGCCCCGAAGAGAGGGAUAACAGUUCGAAAGGAUUGCUAAUACCCCAUGUAGUUGUUUGGAUUAGAUGCCUUACAACUAAACGGAUUUAUUCGCUUCGGGAGGGACCUGCGUCCCAUCAGCUAGUUGGUAGGGUAACGGCCUACCAAGGCUAUGACGGGUAGGGGACCUGAGAGGGUGGCCCCCCACAAUGGAACUGAAACACGGUCCAUACACCUACGGGUGGCAGCAGUAGGGAAUAUUGGUUAAUCUGCGAAAGCGGGAACCAGCAACGCCGCGUGCACGAUGAAGGCCUUCGGGUUGUAAAGUGCUUUUUGAGAGGAUGAGGAAGGACAGUACUCUUAGAAUAAGCUUCGGCUAACUACGUGCCAGCAGCCGCGGUAAAACGUAGGAAGCGAGCGUUAUCCGGAUUUACUGGGCGUAAAGCGUGUGUAGGCGGUUUGACAAGUUGGAUGUGAAAGCUCCUGGCUUAACUGGGAGAGGUCGUUCAAAACUGUCAGACUCGAGAGUGGUAGAGGGAGGUGGAAUUCCGGGUGUAGUGGUGAAAUGCGUAGAUAUCCGGAGGAACACCAGUGGCGAAAGCGGCCUCCUGGCCCAUUUCUGACGCUCAGACACGAAAGCUAAGGUAGCAAACGGGAUUAGAGACCCCGGUAGUCUUAGCUGUAAACGAUGUGAACUUAGUGUCGGUGGGUUUAAAUCCAUCGGUACUGAAGCUAACGCGAUAAGUUCACCGCCUGGGGACUACGGCCGCAAGGUUAAAACUCAAAGGAAUUGACGGGGCCCCGCACAAGCAGCGGAGCGUGUGGUUUAAUUCGAUGUUACACGAAGAACCUUUACCAGGGUUUGACAUGCAAG